Molecule: non-coding RNA, 319 nt
Organism: Paramuricea clavata
Lineage: Eukaryota; Metazoa; Cnidaria; Anthozoa; Malacalcyonacea; Plexauridae
Source: the annotation of a GenBank genome assembly
GCCGUAGGUUCGAUUCCUACCAGAGGACCUUGUGCUGCAUUUUUCGCAGUCGUUCCUGGUUAGGUCUUAAAAUGUAUAUAUUCUCACUUGGAUUACAAACCCUAACAUCCUAAUAUUAAUUCCACCAAGUGAAGUGCAGAACUAAGUUAUUCAAGUGUGCAAGAUCACCUAUUAUAACCAUAAGGGGCUAAUCGAAACAGGUGAUCUGCUAAAGUAAUACAUUUAUACAACACAGAAUUACGAAAAAAGAUAGCAUUACAUCCACGGAAGAUAAACAUAGCUCAGAUCUUUAUCUAAGCAUGAGUUUGCUCCAUAUCAG